GGGAUUGCCUUAGUAACGGCGAGUGAAGCGGCAACAGCUCAAAUUUGAAAUCUGGCUCCUUUCGGGGUCCGAGUUGUAAUUUGUAGAGAGCGUCUCGGGUGAGUCUGCGGUCCAAGUCUAUUGGAACAUAGCGUCAUAGAGGGUGAGAAUCCCGUACGCGACCGCGGCACGAGCCCAUGUGAGACCUCUUCGACGAGUCGAGUUGUUUGGGAAUGCAGCUCAAAAUGGGUGGUAAAUUUCAUCUAAAGCUAAAUACCGGCUGGAGACCGAUAGCGCACAAGUAGAGUGAUCGAAAGAUGAAAAGCACUUUGGAAAGAGAGUCAAACAGUACGUGAAAUUGUUGAAAGGGAAGCGCUUGCGACCAGACCUGCCCGUAGGUGAUCAGCCGCUGUUCUCAGCGGCGUACUCACUCUGCGAUCAGGCCAGCAUCGGUUCGGGCGGCCGGAUAAAGGCCCCGGGAAUGUAGCUCCCCCUCGGGGGAGUCUUAUAGCCCGGGGCGCCAUGCGGCCAGCCGGGACCGAGGACCGCGCUUCGGCUAGGAUGCUGGCGUAAUGGUUGCAAGCGACCCGUCUUGAAACACGGACCAAGGAGUCUAACAUCUAUGCGAGUGUUUGGGUGCCAAACCCAUGCGCGGAAUGAAAGUGAACGGAGGUGAGAGCCCUGGAGGGCGCAUCAUCGACCGAUCCAGAUGUCUUCGGAUGGAUUUGAGUAUGAGCAUAGCUGUUGGGACCCGAAAGAUGGUGAACUAUGCCUGAAUAGGGUGAAGCCAGAGGAAACUCUGGUGGAGGCUCGCAGCGGUUCUGACGUGCAAAUCGAUCGUCAAAAUUUGGGUAUAGGGGCGAAAGACUAAUC
Molecule: ribosomal RNA, 852 nt
Filed under: Bulborrhizina africana
Lineage: Eukaryota; Fungi; Ascomycota; Lecanoromycetes; Lecanorales; Parmeliaceae
Description: LSU rRNA
Rfam family: Eukaryotic large subunit ribosomal RNA
Source: RNAcentral